Herpailurus yagouaroundi (jaguarundi) is the source of this 1323-nucleotide long non-coding RNA. RefSeq lists it as uncharacterized. NCBI's taxonomy places the organism in Eukaryota, Metazoa, Chordata, Mammalia, Carnivora, Felidae. The transcript is spliced from 3 exons. The record is from RefSeq and is a predicted model, not a curated record.
GUCCAUUGCUUACUGACUGGGCCACCCGGAUGCCCAUUGUUGUCCUUUUUUAGUUCCUUCUUCGAUAAUAUAGGUGAUUCUACUUAUUCCCAUGCUAGAAGACUAUUUAGCAACAUCCAGUAAAAAAACAAAACAAAACAAAACAACAAAAAAACAAAUUCCUCAAAGGAUAAUAUUGACUUCAAAACCUAGUUACAAGUGCUGUAGUAAUUAUCUACCUGAAGUUGGAAUUUCUCUUCCUGUUCAAAAGUACGGUUGACCUUUUCACCAGCAGCCUUGCUAACAAAAGGGAUAAAGUUGAUACCAACUUCUUCCUUAAUACACUCAGCAAAUUCCUUUAAACAGUGGAGUACCGUUGAAAACCUUGUAGCUCUUCUUUCACUUUGCAUAAUCCUCUUACCAAACUGAUUGAAGACAAUGACCAAGAAAUAGGGAGCUUUUACAGAAUAAAUUACACUAGUUCCCCCUUCUCUGGGAUUUGGCUUUUCCGCAGUUCCAACUCCAGGCAGUCAACCCCGAUCAGAAGCAGGGGCAUCAGAAGGUCAAUCCGUAGCCUGACGCCACGUCAGUGAAGUCACAAAGUCUGCGACACGCCCCUCACUUAUCCCAUUCGGUGACGUCACAAAGUCUGCGACACGCCCCUUCCGUGAUCCCUCACACAGGCAUUUUAUCAUCUCACAUCAUCACAGGAGGGAAUUUGAAGAUUGAAUUUGGUAGUCUUCUGACCAUGUUGCUGCCAUCCAUCACUCACAAAUCAACUCAUCAUGACCUGUAACCAGGAACGAAGAGUUGCAGACUUGCCAACUAGCAAUGAAUUGAACUCAGUUGAACUCUGAUGCAGAAAAGGUUUAUUUGGAGAGAGAGCAAGAAGGGAAGGGGCAGAGAGAGGAAGAGACAGAAUCCCAAGGAGUCUCUCCACAGUCUCUGCAGAGCUCAGUUGUGGGGCUUGAACUCACAAACCCAUGAGAUCAUGACAUGAGCUGAGAUCAAGAUCCGAAAGCUUAGCCAACUAAGCCACCCAGGCACCCCUCAACGUUGAUCUUUUGAAUUACUCACUUUGGAUGAAACCAGUUGCUAUGCUGUGGUCAAGCAGUUCUGUGAAAAGAAACUGAGAUCUCCCAUGAAGAGCCAGCACCAACCAAAUGAACACCUUGGAAGUAGAUUUGCAACCAGGGUCAAGCCUUCAGAUGACGUCAGCCCCAAACAUGGACAUCUGACGGUAACUUCACGAGAGACCCCAAGCCAGAACUGCCCAGCCAAGCCACACCUAAAUUCCUGACCCACAGAAAUACAUACGAGAAUAAAUGAUUACAGUUGUGUUAA